UCGUGCGAGGUCAUGGUUGGCAUAAU
This 26-nucleotide non-coding RNA is filed under the name Homo sapiens (human). The record is from RNAcentral. Lineage: Eukaryota; Metazoa; Chordata; Mammalia; Primates; Hominidae.